CCUACGGGAGGCAGCAGUCGAGAAUCAUUCACAAUGGGGGAAACCCUGAUGGUGCGACGCCGCGUGAGGGAAUGAAGUCCUUCGGUUUGUAAACCCCUGUCAUGUGGGAGCAAAAUAAAAAGAUAGUACCACAAGAGGAAGAGACGGCUAACUCGGUGCCAGCAGCCGCGGUAAUACAGAGGUCUCAAGCGUUGUUCGGAAUCACUGGGAGUAAGGCGUGCGGAGGUGGUUUAGUAAGUCGUGGGUGAAAGUGGCGGGUUCAACCGGCGGACGGCUCAUAAUACUGCGAGACUAGAGUAAUGGAGGGGAAACCGGAAUUCCUGGUGUAGCAGUGAAAUGCGUAGAUAUUGGGAGGAACACUAGUGGCGAAGGCGAGUUCCUGGACAUUAACUGACGCUGAGGCACGAAGGCCAGGGGAGCGAAAGGGAUUAGAUACCCCAGUAGUC
This 446-nucleotide ribosomal RNA is filed under the name uncultured bacterium. Its description in RNAcentral is "partial 16S ribosomal RNA". It matches the Rfam family "Bacterial small subunit ribosomal RNA", at positions 338 to 795 of the family's 1533-position model. The record is from RNAcentral.